Molecule: ribosomal RNA, 985 nt
Filed under: human gut metagenome
Description: bacterial LSU rRNA
Rfam family: Bacterial large subunit ribosomal RNA
Source: RNAcentral
AUAACGGUCCUAAGGUAGCGAAAUUCCUUGUCAGGUAAGUUCUGACCCGCACGAAUGGCGUAAUGACUUGGGCACUGUCUCAACUGCAAAUCCGGCGAAGUUGUAGUGCGAGUGAAGAUGCUCGCUACCCGCGAUUGGACGGAAAGACCCCGUAGAGCUUUACUGCAGCUUAGCAUUGAAUUCCGGUAUUGUCUGUACAGGAUAGGUGGGAGACUGGGAAACUAGGGCGUCAGCCUUAGUGGAGUCAACCUUGGGAUACCACCCUGACAGUACUGGGGUUCUAACAGGACGCCAUGAAUCUGGUGACUGGACAUUGUUAGGUGGGCAGUUUGACUGGGGCGGUCGCCUCCUAAAAAGUAACGGAGGCGCCCAAAGGUUCCCUCAGAACGGUCGGAAAUCGUUCGUAGAGUGCAAAGGCAGAAGGGAGCCUGACUGCGAGACAUACAAGUCGAGCAGGGACGAAAGUCGGGCUUAGUGAUCCGGUGGUACCUCGUGGGAGGGCCAUCGCUCAACGGAUAAAAGCUACCUCGGGGAUAACAGGCUGAUCUCCCCCAAGAGUCCACAUCGACGGGGAGGUUUGGCACCUCGAUGUCGGCUCAUCGCAUCCUGGGGCUGUAUUCGGUCCCAAGGGUUUGGCUGUUCGCCAAUUAAAGCGGUACGCGAGCUGGGUUCAGAACGUCGUGAGACAGUUCGGUCCCUAUCCGGCGUGGGCGUAGGAUAUCUGAGAGGAGCUGUCCUUAGUACGAGAGGACCGGGAUGGACUGACCUCUGGUGCACCAGUUGUUCCGCCAGGAGCAUGGCUGGGUAGCUAAGUCGGGAAGGGAUAAACGCUGAAAGCAUCUAAGCGUGAAGCCUCCCUCAAGAUGAGAUUUCCCAUAGCAUAAGCUAGUAAGACCCCUUGAAGAACACAAGGUUGAUAGGUCAGAGGUGUAAGUGCGGUAACGUAUUUAGCUGACUGAUACUAAUAGGUCGAGGGCUUGACCAA